Molecule: ribosomal RNA, 141 nt
Filed under: uncultured bacterium
Lineage: Bacteria
Description: partial 16S rRNA
Rfam family: Bacterial small subunit ribosomal RNA
Source: RNAcentral
UGGGGAAUUUUCCGCAAUGGGCGAAAGCCUGACGGAGCAAUGCCGCGUGGAGGUGGAAGGCCUACGGGUCGUCAACUUCUUUUCUCGGAGAAGAAACAAUGACGGUAUCUGAGGAGUAAGCAUCGGCUAACUCUGUGCCAG